This 776-nucleotide ribosomal RNA is filed under the name uncultured Providencia sp. RNAcentral's name for it is "bacterial SSU rRNA". It matches the Rfam family "Bacterial small subunit ribosomal RNA", at positions 723 to 1502 of the family's 1533-position model. The record is from RNAcentral. Lineage: Bacteria; Pseudomonadati; Pseudomonadota; Gammaproteobacteria; Enterobacterales; Morganellaceae.
CGGCCCCUGGACAAGACUGACGCUCAGGUGCGAAGCGUGGGGAGCAAACAGGAUUAGAUACCUGGUAGUCACGCUGUAAACGAUGUCGAUUUGGAGGUUGUUCCCUUGAGGAGUGGCUUCCGGAGCUAACGCGUUAAAUCGACCGCCUGGGGAGUACGGCCGCAAGGUUAAAACUCAAAUGAAUUGACGGGGGCCCGCACAAGCGGUGGAGCAUGUGGUUUAAUUCGAUGCAACGCGAAGAACCUUACCUACUCUUGACAUCCAGAGAAUUUAGCAGAGAUGCUUUAGUGCCUUCGGGAACUCUGAGACAGGUGCUGCAUGGCUGUCGUCAGCUCGUGUUGUGAAAUGUUGGGUUAAGUCCCGCAACGAGCGCAACCCUUAUCCUUUGUUGCCAGCACGUUAUGGUGGGAACUCAAAGGAGACUGCCGGUGAUAAACCGGAGGAAGGUGGGGAUGACGUCAAGUCAUCAUGGCCCUUACGAGUAGGGCUACACACGUGCUACAAUGGCGUAUACAAAGAGAAGCGACCUCGCGAGAGCAAGCGGAACUCAUAAAGUACGUCGUAGUCCGGAUUGGAGUCUGCAACUCGACUCCAUGAAGUCGGAAUCGCUAGUAAUCGUAGAUCAGAAUGCUACGGUGAAUACGUUCCCGGGCCUUGUACACACCGCCCGUCACACCAUGGGAGUGGGUUGCAAAAGAAGUAGGUAGCUUAACCUUCGGGAGGGCGCUUACCACUUUGUGAUUCAUGACUGGGGUGAAGUCGUAACAAGGUAACCA